AUACGGAGGGUGCGAGCGUUAAGCGGAAUUACUGGGCGUAAAGCGUACGUAGGCGGUUGGUUAAGUUAGAUGUGAAAGCCCCGGGCUUAACCUGGGAACUGCAUUUAAAACUGGCGAACUAGAGUUGAGUAGAGGGGAGUGGAAUUUCAGGUGUAGCGGUGAAAUGCGUAGAGAUCUGAAGGAACACCAGUGGCGAAGGCGACUCCCUGGACUCGAACUGACGCUGAGGUACGAAAGCGUGGGUAGCAAACGGGAUUAGAAACCCUAGUAGUCC
RNAcentral lists this ribosomal RNA (274 nucleotides) under uncultured bacterium. RNAcentral's name for it is "partial 16S ribosomal RNA". It matches the Rfam family "Bacterial small subunit ribosomal RNA", at positions 523 to 796 of the family's 1533-position model. The record is from RNAcentral.